RNAcentral lists this ribosomal RNA (315 nucleotides) under Triticum aestivum (bread wheat). Its description in RNAcentral is "partial small subunit ribosomal RNA". Lineage: Eukaryota; Viridiplantae; Streptophyta; Magnoliopsida; Poales; Poaceae. The record is from RNAcentral.
AUGGAAAACCAGAGUGCCAAAAGAAGGUGGAUUUGGCAGUUGUUGCUCCAUGAGACAAGUUUAUUUUCCUGCUCAAAAUUCGGACCUAGAAAGGAUGAAACCAGAUGGAACGCAAAAGCUACAUGGCAGAGCACAUUUUGGGCACUGGUUCGUUUGGUGCCGUCUUUCAGGCUAAAUUCUUGGAAACUGGGGAGACGGUGGCCACUAAGAAGGUACUGUCGGGAGCUGCAGCUUAUGCGUUCGAUUAACCAUUCCAAUGUUGUCUCCCUCAAGCACUGCUUCUUCUCAACCACAAGUGAAGUGAGCUGUUUCUGA